GAUGAACGCUGGCGGCGUGCCUAAUACAUGCAAGUCGAGCGAACAGACGCGGCGCUUGCUCCUCUGACGUUAGCGGCGGACGGGUGAGUCACACGUGGAUCACCUACCUAUAUUUCUGGGAUCACCUCGGGAAGCCGGCUCUAAUACCGGAUGAUAUAUUGAACCGUAUGGUUCAAUGGUGAAUGACGGUUUUGCUGUCACUUCUAGCUGGAUCCGGGCCGCAUGAGGUAGUUGGUAGGGUAACGGCCUACCAAGGCAACGAUGCGUAGCCGAACUGAGAGGGGGGUCGGCCACACUGGAGGGUGGACGCGGUCCAGACGCCUACGAGAGGCAGCAGUAGGGAAUCUGACGCAAUAGGCGAGAGCCUGACGGAGCGACGCCGCGUGAGUGAUGAAGGUGUUCGGAUCGUAAAAAUGUGUUAUUGGGGGAGAACAAAUGUGGAAGUAACUGUGCACGUCGUGACGGUAACGGGUCAGGAAGCCACGGCUAACUACGUG
RNAcentral lists this ribosomal RNA (497 nucleotides) under uncultured bacterium. RNAcentral describes it as "partial 16S ribosomal RNA". It matches the Rfam family "Bacterial small subunit ribosomal RNA", at positions 28 to 507 of the family's 1533-position model. The record is from RNAcentral.